This 169-nucleotide ribosomal RNA is filed under the name Bergia texana. RNAcentral describes it as "5.8S ribosomal RNA". It matches the Rfam family "5.8S ribosomal RNA". From Rfam's summary of the family: 5.8S ribosomal RNA (5.8S rRNA) is a component of the large subunit of the eukaryotic ribosome. It is transcribed by RNA polymerase I as part of the 45S precursor that also contains 18S and 28S rRNA. Lineage: Eukaryota; Viridiplantae; Streptophyta; Magnoliopsida; Malpighiales; Elatinaceae. The record is from RNAcentral.
AACGACUCUCGGCAACGGAUAUCUCGGCUCUCGCAUCGAUGAAGAACGUAGCGAAAUGCGAUACUUGGUGUGAAUUGCAGAAUCCCGUGAACCAUCGAGUCUUUGAACGCAAGUUGCGCCCGAAGCCUUCUGGCCAAGGGCACGUCUGCCUGGGUGUCACACAACGUAG